UACGAAGGGGGCUAGCGUUGCUCGGAAUUACUGGGCGUAAAGCGCACGUAGGCGGCUUUCUAAGUCGGGGGUGAAAUCCUGGAGCUCAACUCCAGAACUGCCUUCGAUACUGGAGAGCUCGAGUCCGGGAGAGGUGAGUGGAACUGCGAGUGUAGAGGUGAAAUGCGCAGAUAUCGGGAGGAACACCAAUGGCGAAGGCAGCUCGCUGGGACGGUACUGACGCUGAGACGCGAAAGCGUGGGGAGCAAACAGG
This 253-nucleotide ribosomal RNA is filed under the name uncultured bacterium. Its description in RNAcentral is "partial 16S ribosomal RNA". It matches the Rfam family "Bacterial small subunit ribosomal RNA", at positions 524 to 776 of the family's 1533-position model. The record is from RNAcentral.